GCCGGGCGUGGUGGCCCACGCCUUUAAUCCCAGCACUCAGGAGGCAGAGGCAGGCAGAUAUCUGAGUUCUCGAGGCCAGCCUGGUCUACAAAGUGAGCUCCAGGACAGCCAGGGCUAUACAGAGAAACCCUGUCUCGAAAAACCAAAAAAAAAAAAGAUUUCACUGUAGCUCUGGCUGUCCUGGAAUUCACGUUGUAGACCUGGCUCUCCUUGAACUUAGAGCUCUGCCUGCUU
Molecule: long non-coding RNA, 234 nt
Filed under: Mus musculus (house mouse)
Lineage: Eukaryota; Metazoa; Chordata; Mammalia; Rodentia; Muridae
Description: long non-coding RNA chr9:65333277-65333511
Source: RNAcentral